Molecule: ribosomal RNA, 468 nt
Filed under: uncultured bacterium
Lineage: Bacteria
Description: partial 16S ribosomal RNA
Rfam family: Bacterial small subunit ribosomal RNA
Source: RNAcentral
GACGAACGCUGGCGGCGUGCUUAACACAUGCAAGUCGAACGGAAAGGCCCUGCUUUUGCGGGUUGCUCGAUAGGCGAACGGGUGAGUAACACGUGAGUAACCUGCCCUUGACUUUGUGAUAACUUCAGGAAACUGGGGCUAAUACCGGAUAGGAUCUCCUGCAGCAUGGUGGGGGUUGGAAAGUUUCGGCGGUUGGGGAUGGACUCGCUGCUUAUCCGCUUGUUUGUGGGGUAGUUGCUUACCAAGGCUUUGACGGGUAGGCGGCAUGGGAGGGUGACCGGCCACAUGGGGACUAAGAUACGGACCAGAAGCCAACCGGACGCAACAGUGGGGAAUAUUGCACAGUGGGCGGAAGCCUGAUACAGAGACGCCGCGUGCGGGAUGACGGCUUUCGGGUUGUGAACCGCUUUCGACUGUGACGAAGCGGGAGUGACGGUAAUGAGUAAAGAAGCACCGGCUAACUACGUG